Molecule: ribosomal RNA, 494 nt
Filed under: uncultured bacterium
Lineage: Bacteria
Description: bacterial SSU rRNA
Rfam family: Bacterial small subunit ribosomal RNA
Source: RNAcentral
AAAGGAAUAGACGGGGGCCCGCACAAGCGGUGGAGCAUGUGGUUUAAUUCGACGCAACGCGAAGAACCUUACCUGGGCUUGAACUGUAAUGGACCGGUGCAGAGAUGUGCCUUUUCGCAAGAACUGUUACAGAGGUGCUGCAUGGCUGUCGUCAGCUCGUGUCGUGAGAUGUUGGGUUAAGUCCCGCAACGAGCGCAACCCUUACCUCUAGUUGCCAGCGCGUAAUGGUGGGAACUCUAGAGGGACUGCCCGGGUUAACCGGGAGGAAGGUGGGGAUGAUGUCAAGUCCUCAUGGCCCUUAUGUCCAGGGCUACACACGUGCUACAAUGGGCGAUACAAACCGUCGCGAAGCCGCGAGGUGAAGCUAAUCGGAGAAAGUCGCCCUCAGUUCGGAUUGUAGUCUGCAACUCGACUACAUGAAGGUGGAAUCGCUAGUAAUCGUGUAUCAGAAUGAUACGGUGAAUACGUUCCCGGGCCUUGUACACACCGCCCGU